RNAcentral lists this ribosomal RNA (322 nucleotides) under uncultured eukaryote. RNAcentral describes it as "partial 18S ribosomal RNA". It matches the Rfam family "Eukaryotic small subunit ribosomal RNA", at positions 1470 to 1796 of the family's 1831-position model. The record is from RNAcentral.
CCCUUAGAUGUUCUGGGCCGCACGCGCGCUACACUGAUGCAUUCAACGAGCCUAUCCUUGACCGACAGGUCCGGGUAAUCUUUGAAUCUGCAUCGUGACGGGGAUAGAUUAUUGCAAUUAUUAAUCUUCAACGAGGAAUGCCUAGUAGGCGCAAGUCAUCAGCUUGCGUCGAUUACGUCCCUGCCCUUUGUACACACCGCCCGUCGCACCUACCGAUUGAAUGUUUCGGUGAAGAUUCCGGAUAGGACUGAUUUGAUUUAUUUCAUUUCUGACCUAAAAGCUAUCUAAACCUCAACAUUUAGAGGAAGGUGAAGUCGUAACA